Molecule: unclassified non-coding RNA, 250 nt
Filed under: Ascomycota sp.
Lineage: Eukaryota; Fungi; Ascomycota
Description: partial contains small subunit ribosomal RNA, internal transcribed spacer 1, and 5.8S ribosomal RNA
Rfam family: Eukaryotic small subunit ribosomal RNA (bases 1-47)
Source: RNAcentral
AAAGUCGUAACAAGGUUUCCGUAGGUGAACCUGCGGAAGGAUCAUUACCGAGUGAGGGCCCUCUGGGUCCAACCUCCCACCCGUGUUUAUUUACCUUGUUGCUUCGGCGGGCCCGCCUUAACUGGCCGCCGGGGGGCUUUGCCCCCGGGCCCGCGCCCGCCGAAGACACCCUCGAACUCUGUCUGAAGAUUGAAGUCUGAGUGAAAAUAUAAAUUAUUAAAAACUUUCAACAACGGAUCUCUUGGUUCCG